CAUUGCUGUGGCUGCCCCAGAUAAAGGAGCAUGACCGUGGACCAGUUGCUGCAGUACUCCUGUGAGUUAGCUAUGAUGGUCAACCCCCACUUUCCAGAGGAAGAAACGGAGUAAUGGAGAGAGCAGGUAUACAUCCGAAAAAAUUGAAAACAGAUAUUCAAACAAAAACUUUCACUGAAAAGUUCAUAGCAGCACUACUCAAAAUGAUCAAAAGGAAGCAAUCCAAUGCACAGCUGAUGAACGAAUGAACAAAAUGUGAUAUGGCCAUACCAUGGAAUACCACUCAGCCACAAAAAGGAGCACGAUCCAGACACAUGCUGCAACAUGGAUAAACCUGGGAAAUAUUAUGGUGAGGGAAAGAUGCAAGACUCAAAAAGUCACAUAUUAAUGAUUCCAUGUAUAUGAAAUAGAACAGAAGAGGUAGAUCCAGGGACAGAAAGAUUGCUGACUGCCAGGGACUGGGCAGAUGGUUGAGUAGAGAGUGACUGCUUAAUGGAUAUGGGGUUUCUCUUUAAGGUCAUGAAAAAGUUUUGCAACUAUCUAUUGGUGACAGUUUCGCAACAUUGUGAAUAUGCUACAAGCCACUCAAUUGUAUAUUUUUAAAUGGUUAUUUUAUAUUACAUGAAUUUUACCAUGAUUUUAAAAAACUAGGGAUGGUGGUCCUCAUCCUAUGGCUUGUGGUCUCCCUAUUUCUUCUCCAUGCAAAUCUUGGGUAAAUGACAAAUCAAACUGCAAAAAUCUGAGACUUCCCUGGUGGUCCAGUGGUUAAGACUUGUCGUUUCCACUUCAGGGGACAUGGAUUGGAUCCCUAGUCUGAGAUCCCACAUGCAUGCUAUCCAGCGAGGUCAAAAAAGAAAAAUAGAGACACAGCCUCCCUCAGAGGAGGCUCUGAGAAGAGGUGGAACUCAGGCAGUCUCCCCAGAUGACUCUAGUAUGUGGCCCAGGUGAUAUC
Molecule: long non-coding RNA, 952 nt
Organism: Bos taurus (domestic cattle)
Lineage: Eukaryota; Metazoa; Chordata; Mammalia; Artiodactyla; Bovidae
Source: Ensembl